GUGGGGAGCUGGAGCCCGGCCCUGGCCCCACAGAGGUGCCGGGGCUGCCCGGUGCCCCGCUGCUGGUGGGGCGCUGGGCUGGGCCAUGCCUGCCCCACCCUCCCCGGGCCGCCCCAGGCUUUAGGCCCCAGCUGCGCCAUGGGGAGGCUGUUUGCUCAUGGCAGCCAAGGAAAGCGGUCCUGCUUGUGUUCUGCAGGUAGAUUCUAAAAUGCCUCAGUGUGAUCAACUUAAGCCAGUACCAAUGCCUCUUCCGUCAACAGAUUCUUCAAAUGACUGAUCAGGAGGGGAUGUUUGUGAACUCUGUUGUAGGUCUGCUUAUCCUACGACCCUUACCAAGUGGUAGAACUGGAAAAGAUGACUGAGUUUUCCUGCACAGGGAUUGCAUUUCUUUACAUUACUUUGCUGGCUAUUGAUCUGUGUUCCCUAAGCCUUAUGGCUACUGCAUCGUACAUGCCUACAGUGUCGAAUGAAUUCCAGCAAUGUAACUGGUUACCUGGACAAAUAACUGUGACGUAUUUUCCCUUAUGAAAGCCUAUGUGUUUGUCUGUUAAGGCAAAAAACACAGUUCUUUGUGAAACACAGAACUUAGUGAAGUUAUUGUCUUAAUUAUCAGCUUUCAGAGCUCUUUUCAUUUCUAGAACUGUCUGCCAGAAUAUAUAAUAUAAUGUAGUAAUGGUUUCUGUAGUUUAUCAGGAUUAAUUGGCCUAUUGACAAUGAGCUCAUUUCUGUUUACUGCAGAAAUGAAACAAUUCACCCACAAGCAUUCGUAGAAGUGACUUGCUUAGUUAUGAUUAUAGUUUCCCCUCCCCCCCAAGAAUAUCUCCACUGAUUUCAGUGUUGUUGUUACCUCAGGAAUUUUGCCUGUAUAUUCAGUCCACCUGUCUGAAGUCUGUAUAGAAUUUGUAAUUUUGUUUAUAUUUUGAAAGUGCCUGAGAGCAAUAAAUA
Molecule: long non-coding RNA, 945 nt
Organism: Cygnus olor (mute swan)
Lineage: Eukaryota; Metazoa; Chordata; Aves; Anseriformes; Anatidae
Exons: 3
Source: RefSeq, a predicted model, not a curated record